This 338-nucleotide ribosomal RNA is filed under the name uncultured bacterium. Its description in RNAcentral is "partial 16S ribosomal RNA". It matches the Rfam family "Bacterial small subunit ribosomal RNA", at positions 338 to 668 of the family's 1533-position model. The record is from RNAcentral.
CCUACGGGUGGCAGCAGUAGGGAAUCUUCCACAAUGGGCGAAAGCCUGAUGGAGCAACGCCGCGUGGGUGAAGAAGGUCUUCGGAUCGUAAAACCCUGUUGUUAGAGAAGAAAGUGCGUGAGAGUAACUGUUCACGUUUCGACGGUAUCUAACCAGAAAGCCACGGCUAACUACGUGCCAGCAGCCGCGGUAAUCCGUAGGUGGCAAGCGUUAUCCGGAUUUUUUGGGGGUAAAGGGAACGCAGGCGGUCUUUUAAGUCUGAUGUGAAGGCCUUCGGCUUAACCGGGGUAGUGCAUUGAAAACGGGGAGACUUGAGGGCAGAAGAGGAGAGUGGAACU